GAUGAAGAACGCAGCGAAAUGCGAUAAGUAAUGUGAAUUGCAGAAUUCAGUGAAUCAUCGAAUCUUUGAACGCACAUUGCGCCCCCUGGUAUUCCGGGGGGCAUGCCUGUUCGAGCGCCAUUUCAACCCUCAAGCUCUGCUUGGUAUUGAGUCCAUGUCAGCAAUGGCAGGCUCCAAAAUCAGUGGCGGCGCCGCUGGGUCCUGAACGUAGUAAUAUCUCUCGUUACAGGUGCUCGGCGUGCUUCUGCCAAAACCCCAAUUUUUCUAUGGUUGACCUCGGAUCAGGUAGGGAUACCCGCUGAACUUAAGCAUAUCAAUAAGCGGAGGA
RNAcentral lists this unclassified non-coding RNA (328 nucleotides) under soil metagenome. RNAcentral describes it as "partial contains 5.8S ribosomal RNA, internal transcribed spacer 2, and large subunit ribosomal RNA". The stretch from base 1 to 120 matches the Rfam family "5.8S ribosomal RNA", at positions 35 to 154 of the family's 154-position model. The record is from RNAcentral.